Molecule: ribosomal RNA, 254 nt
Filed under: uncultured bacterium
Lineage: Bacteria
Description: partial 16S ribosomal RNA
Rfam family: Bacterial small subunit ribosomal RNA
Source: RNAcentral
UACGAAGGGGGCUAGCGUUGUUCGGAAUCACUGGGCGUAAAGCGCACGCAGGCGGAUUGAUAAGUCAGGGGUGAAAUCCCGGAGCUCAACUUCGGAAUUGCCUUUGAUACUGUCUGUCUUCGAGUUCGGGAGAGGUUGGCGGAAUUCCUAGUGUAGAGGUGAAAUUCGUAGAUAUUCGCAAGAACACCAGUGGCGAAGGCGGCUCACUGGCCCGGUACUGACGCUGAGGUGCGAAAGCGUGGGGAGCAAACAGG